UCCGGUUAGUAAUUGACACACGAGAUAUUUUGAAACAAUUACGUUUUUGACUGCAAUUACUGCUUUUCGAGGAUGCUUCUGUCGAGUUUUGACAGGACAGUAUCCAUGUUCCCUGCACGACGCCCUCCAUUACAGUUGGGACAUUUCCCUGCCAGUUUUCUUCCUCCACCAUGCCCAAGAGACUGGUCCAAUAUUGUUCAAAACUUGAUGGAAAUGCAGUGUCAUCGUACUUUGGAGACAACAAGCAGUUUAUUCGUUUGAUGAGACUGAAAUCCCGUUGAAGGGAGCAGACACUGUUGUGAGCAUAAUGAUCACUACUUUAAGUACCAUGGUUUGGAGAAGAAACACCGAAAUUGGGACUUUGGUCUUUUGAAAAGCAGCAAACAGGCCUGUGUUCGUGCUCUGCAGGUUUGGUGCAUCGGAUAUGGUGUAGUUUACCUUGAUGAAAACAAGAGCAUUUGUGUGACCUGAACUCCUUUCCAAAAUCUGCAUGAAGGGGAUGGAUGUUGAAUGGCAGUGGUAUUAACAUGACAAGAUCAGAGAAUACAGCGGAUUUGACAUUUAAAAAGACAGUGUGCCCAAGACAGUCUCAACCAAAGCAUUGAACAAACUGUACAACAUGUUAAUUAACUUUUUAGAGCUAUUUGUUUGGACUAAUGUUUGUCAUUCAGAAAUAAGUAAUAACAUUAUUUCUCAGUAUAAAAAAACUGUAGGAAUUAGAAAAUGAUAUUUAUUGUAACUAUGUAAACAAACCUCUUAGGGGUUUAGCCAGGUUAAAGAAUGACAGGCAGCCACAGAAAAGAGACAGGUUUCCAUGUGUCAACAGGACACCCUUCAUUUAGCUGUGAAAUUUUUUAACAUUUUGAAUGUUACAGAAAAUGUUUGGAACAUUGUAUAAUGUUUAAUUGAAGUACUAUUAGGUUUCAAGUGCCAAAUAUGUAAAGCCAGUGUGUAUCUAUAGUCAUGUUAUUAUAAAUUUGUUAUCAAAACAAAAUCAAUAUUUGACUGUCUUAAGCUUUUAAUGCUAUGAAGGCAGGAGGUUGCCAAUCUUGCUCUUCAUGGCGGGUGCUUCCAAAAAAGAACAGGGUGCAGCAACCUUCCAUAGCUCUUUAGCUAGAACCCUUAUAUCCCUUUUUCAUCAAAUAACAGUAACAUUGACAAUUAACAAAUGAUGCAGUGAUUUUCUUAUGCUAAUAUCAUCAAUUUUUAUUGUCAUAAAGUUUUCUUCUAGAAGUGAUUUGUACAUGUAAUGUAUUGGAAAUUGAUACUUGUGGU
Molecule: long non-coding RNA, 1275 nt
Organism: Mya arenaria
Lineage: Eukaryota; Metazoa; Mollusca; Bivalvia; Myida; Myidae
Exons: 4
Source: RefSeq, a predicted model, not a curated record